AUGUUUGGCGUUGUAGAUUAUUUCUUACUAAAUGUUCAAACUAGUGCAGACUGCAGCGAGCGUAUGCAGAAGUUUACCUUAAGAAUCCUGGCCGGGACUCACAUUUACGAAGCAGAGACUACUUGUGAUCUCGGGGAAUGUAACCUGCUCCCAGGACUGGUGUGUCCUUCCUGUUGUAGAGCCUUCUCCCCGGGCUACACCAUCACCUUGCCUGAAAGGCCCAUGGGGCAGAUAGUGGCUUCCCUCCUUUCAUGGGUUCUCCUGCUGUCUUUGUAG
This 276-nucleotide long non-coding RNA is filed under the name Calidris pugnax (ruff). RNAcentral's name for it is "lncRNA (ENSCPUG00000016018.1)". Lineage: Eukaryota; Metazoa; Chordata; Aves; Charadriiformes; Scolopacidae. The record is from RNAcentral.